Molecule: ribosomal RNA, 397 nt
Filed under: bacterium enrichment culture
Lineage: Bacteria
Description: bacterial SSU rRNA
Rfam family: Bacterial small subunit ribosomal RNA
Source: RNAcentral
UAAUACGAAGGGUGCAAGCGUUACUCGGAAUUACUGGGCGUAAAGCGUGCGUAGGUGGUUCGUUAAGUCUGAUGUGAAAGCCCUGGGCUCAACCUGGGAAUGGCAUUGGAUACUGGCGGGCUAGAGUGCGGUAGAGGGUAGUGGAAUUCCCGGUGUAGCAGUGAAAUGCGUAGAGAUCGGGAGGAACAUCCGUGGCGAAGGCGACUACCUGGACCAGCACUGACACUGAGGCACGAAAGCGUGGGGAGCAAACAGGAUUAGAUACCCUGGUAGUCCACGCCCUAAACGAUGCGAACUGGAUGUUGGGCUCAACUUGGAGCUCAGUAUCGAAGCUAACGCGUUAAGUUCGCCGCCUGGGGAGUACGGUCGCAAGACUGAAACUCAAAGGAAUUGACGG